RNAcentral lists this ribosomal RNA (407 nucleotides) under uncultured bacterium. RNAcentral describes it as "partial 16S ribosomal RNA". It matches the Rfam family "Bacterial small subunit ribosomal RNA", at positions 28 to 526 of the family's 1533-position model. The record is from RNAcentral.
GACGAACGCUGGCGGCGUGCCUAAUACAUGCAAGUAGAACGCAGUUGCGAACGGGUGAGUAACGCGUAGGUAACUGCCUGGUAGCGGGGGAUGACUAUUGGAAACGAUAGCUAAUACCGCAUACUACCAGAUGGAACUGCGUGGUAUUAGCUAGUUGGUGGGGUACCGGCUCAACAAGGCAACGAUACAUAGCCGACCCGGGCGGGUGAUCGUCUACACUUGGACUGAGAAACGGCCCAGACUCCUACGUGAGGCAGCAGUAGGUAAUCUUCGGCAAUGGGGGGAACCUUGACCGAGCAUCGCCUCGUGAGUGAAGAAGGUUUUCGGAUCGUAAAGCUCUGUUGUGAAGGAAGCGGUACUUAACCAGAAAGGGACGGCUAACUACGUGCCAGCCGCCGCGGUAAUAC